Molecule: ribosomal RNA, 253 nt
Filed under: uncultured bacterium
Lineage: Bacteria
Description: partial 16S ribosomal RNA
Rfam family: Bacterial small subunit ribosomal RNA
Source: RNAcentral
UACGUAGGGGGCGAGCGUUGUCCGGAGUUACUGGGCGUAAAGGGCGCGCAGGCGGUGCGGCGCGUUUCGCGUGACAGCGGAGGGCUUAACUCUCCGAGGAUGCGAAAGACGGCGGCACUUGAGGGCCAGAGAGGGACACGGAAUUCCGGGUGGAGUGGUGAAAUGCGUAGAGAUCCGGAGGAACACCGAAGGCGAAGGCAGUGUCCUGGCUGGUGACUGACGCUGAGGUGCGAAAGCUAGGGGAGCGAACGGG